GUUUUAGUGGUGUAAUAUUGCACGUAAGAUUUUCGUUCUUAAGGUAAGGUGUGCCUUCUAAAGUU
RNAcentral lists this transfer RNA (65 nucleotides) under Arcuatula senhousia (Asian date mussel). RNAcentral describes it as "tRNA-Glu". Lineage: Eukaryota; Metazoa; Mollusca; Bivalvia; Mytilida; Mytilidae. The record is from RNAcentral.